GACGUAGGAUGCAAGCGUUGUCCGGAUUUAUUGGGCGUAAAGAGUUCGUAGGUGGUUUGUUAAGUUUGGUGUUAAAGAACGGGGCCUAACCCCGGUAGUGCACUGAAUACUGGCAGACUUGAGUGCGGUAGAGGUAAGUGGAAUUCCAAGUGUAGCGGUGAAAUGCAUAGAUAUUUGGAAGAACACCGGUGGCGUAAGCGACUUACUGGGCCGUAACUGACACUGAGGAACGAAAGCCGGGGUAGCGAAUGGGAUUAGAUACCCGUGUAGU
This 271-nucleotide ribosomal RNA is filed under the name uncultured bacterium. RNAcentral describes it as "partial 16S ribosomal RNA". It matches the Rfam family "Bacterial small subunit ribosomal RNA", at positions 524 to 794 of the family's 1533-position model. The record is from RNAcentral.